RNAcentral lists this ribosomal RNA (1618 nucleotides) under uncultured eukaryote. Its description in RNAcentral is "SSU rRNA". It matches the Rfam family "Eukaryotic small subunit ribosomal RNA". The record is from RNAcentral.
UACCUGGUUGAUCCUGCCAGUAGUCAUAUGCUUGUCUCAAAGAUUAAGCCAUGCAUGUCUAAGUAAAAACUAAAUUAUGGUGAAACUGCAAAUGGCUCAUUACAACGGUUAUGAUGUACCCGGGAUUUCCGAUGGAUAUUUCCAGUAACACUAGAGCUAAUACAUGUAACUGCGUUUAUUAGUUUCAAACAAAUCUGUCGCUGAGUCAUGGUAAACAGUUGAUCGACUCGACGUCCCGGAACAGUUUCCGCCCCAUCAGCUUCGAUGGUUGGGUAUUGGCCUACCAUUGCAACAACGGGUAACGAGGAAUUAGGGUUUGAUUUCGGAGAGGGAGCCUGAGAAACGGCUACCACAUCUACGGAUGGCAGCAGGCGCGCAAAUUACCCAAUGCAGACACUGUGAGGUAGUGACGAGAAAUAAUAAAGCGGGGCUUCUGUCUUGCUAUUAUAAUGAGGAAUAACUAAAUGUCAUUCCUAUUAGCAACUGAUGGGAAAGUCUGGUGCCAGCAGCCGCGGUAAUACCAGCUUCAGUAGCAUAUAUUAAAAUUGUUGCAGUUAAAACGUCCGUAGUCUGUACGUCGUCUAAGACUUACUACGACUCUAUAUAUUCUUUCAUUGAAUGUGUAGUGCUUGUAGUACUCCCUUUGAUCAAAUAGAUGUUCAAGGUAGACUAAGUCUUCAUAUCUUCACAUGGGAAUUUGGUGAGGGAACUUAAGAGGUAAGUUUUCUCGUCUUAGAUCAUCUGGGUCAUUCGUACUCGUCCGCGAGAGGUGUAAUUCUUGUACCCGACGAUAACGAUCAGCAGCGAAGCAUCUGUCAGGGAUGUUUCUUGCGACAAAGGACGAAGGUCAGGGUAUCGAGACGAUAGAUACGUCGUAGUCUGACUGUAAACUAUGCCGACUUGGGUCUUGCAGAGUCAAUACUUUGUGAGACCCACACAGAAAUGAAAGUGUAUGGGUUCUGGGGGUAGUAUGGACACAAGUCUGAAACUUGAAGGAAUUGACGGAAGGGCACCAUAAGACGUGGAGCUUGCGGCUUAAUUUGACUCAACGCGGGAAAACUUACCAGGUCAAGACAUGGGCGUGAUUGACAGGCUAAUGACCUUUCUCGAUUCCUUGGAUGGUGGUGCAUGGUCGCACUUAGUUGGUGCAGUGAUUUGUCAGGUUUAUUCCGGUAACGAACGAGACCUCGGCCUUGUAACUAGUUUAACUGCUUACAGGGACAAUGUCGGCUACGUCAAGGAAGUUCGAGGCAAUUGCAGAUCUGGAAUGCCCUUAGAUGUCCUGGGUCGCACGCGUGCUACAAUGACGCCACGAGCGAGUUCAGGUGAUGAAAGUCACCUGAAAUCAGCAAUCGUCGUCUUAAGGGACAGUCUCUUGUAACUGUGGGACUCUAACUAGGAAUGUCUCGUAAGCACAAGUCAACAUCUUGUGUUGAUUACGUCCCUGCUCUUUGUACACACCGCCCGUCGCUCCUACCGAUCGAGUGACCCGGUGAAUAAUUCGGACUGCAGCAAUGUUUGGAUCCCGAACGUUGCAGCGGAAAGUUUAGUGAACAUUAUCACUUAGAGGAAGGAGAAGUCGUAACAAGGUUUCCGUAGGUGAACCUGCAGAAGGAUC